UUAAAUGUAUCUGCGGAGGAUCUGGUCAAGUGGAGAUAAUCCAUGCAAAUCAGAAACUGGUUGUCAGUGUGUGGUUCCCGGAGAGGACUCAGCCUGAGGAGGUCACUCGUUCACAGCCGCUCCUCCCAUCCUAUCUCUCCCCUUAUUGCAGAACUGCUGUAUGUAUACAGUAGCAGAAAGGACUCAAUUGACUUCAACUGCUGCCUGGUUUUGCUUACAACUUUUUCUUAUAAAGGAACUUACCUCCAUCUGUCUCUUGAAGGUGGCUGGCUACUUCCUCUAAACUCCACAACUCAUUGGAAAGACUAUGGAGCCUACAUAGUUUCUAAAGACAAACGAUGAAUUUCAAAGAAUUUCUGGAUCCUGACACCACAGCUGGAUUUUUAUGUAAG
Mus caroli (Ryukyu mouse) is the source of this 392-nucleotide non-coding RNA. The record is from RefSeq and is a predicted model, not a curated record. Lineage: Eukaryota; Metazoa; Chordata; Mammalia; Rodentia; Muridae.